AGGUACUGGAAGGUCCUCAGGCCGAAAGGGGCUCUGCCCGCCCGAGGAUGGGCCGGCGGCCGAUUAGGUAGUUGGUGGGGUAACGGCCCACCAAGCCGAAGAUCGGUACGGGCCAUGAGAGUGGGAGCCCGGAGAUGGACACUGAGACACGGGUCCAGGCCCUACGGGGCGCAGCAGGCGCGAAACCUCCGCAAUGCGGGCAACCGCGACGGGGGGACCCCCAGUGCCGUGGCAACGCCACGGCUUUUCCGGAGUGUAAAAAGCUCCGGGAAUAAGGGCUGGGCAAGGCCGGUGGCAGCCGCCGCGGUAAUACCGGCGGCCCGAGUGGUGGCCGCUAUUAUUGGGCCUAAAGCGUCCGUAGCCGGGCCCGUAAGUCCCUGGCGAAAUCCCACGGCUCAACCGUGGGGCUUGCUGGGGAUACUGCGGGCCUUGGGACCGGGAGAGGCCGGGGGUACCCCUGGGGUAGGGGUGAAAUCCUAUAAUCCCAGGGGGACCGCCAGUGGCGAAGGCGCCCGGCUGGAACGGGUCCGACGGUGAGGGACGAAGGCCAGGGGAGCGAACCGGAUUAGAUACCCGGGUAGUCCUGGCUGUAAAGGAUGCGGGCUAGGUGUCGGGCGAGCUUCGAGCUCGCCCGGUGCCGAAGGGAAGCCGUU
Molecule: ribosomal RNA, 653 nt
Filed under: uncultured archaeon
Lineage: Archaea
Description: bacterial SSU rRNA
Rfam family: Archaeal small subunit ribosomal RNA
Source: RNAcentral